UCUCUCUCAAAAUAAAUAAAGAAACAUUAAAAAAAAAAGUUUUCACUAAAAUAAAAACUAAACAUUUAAAUAUUCACAUAGCAAGUUUUGUGGUCCCUGAAGAUAGAAUUUAUCUUUGUAACAGGCAUGAACUGCUCCACGAUAUAAUGUAAGAUUUCACUCUCUCUCUAAAUCAAAAUUAAGUCCAGGUUAAGUUCUAUUGGAACACUACAGUAUUGUUCCAUCUCUUCACUGCCUCCUAGGUAACAGGAUUAUACAACUACGUUCUUUGCCAGGUAACUAUGCAGGUUGCUCCUUUGGGCAGUGUGUUUCUCCAACCCUCGACUCUAGGCUUGGCCACAUGACUUGUUUUGACCAGGAGUAUUUUAGCAGACUUGACAUAAACAAAGACUUAAAAUAGGCUUGUGCACUGGGGCUGUUAUUCUUGUGCUUCUUCCAUCUCCGUGAGAUGAACAUCCCCCUACUAGCCUACUGAUCCUGGAAGGAAGAUGAAAGACACAUGGGGCAGAGCAAAACUAUCCCAGCCAAAGCCACUCUAUAAGCAAUUAGCUCCCAACUGGUUGCUAAACACAUACACUAAACAAAUGUUCAUUGCUGUGUGUACUGAAAUUUGGUGAUUGUUAUGCAGCAUUACUUUGGCCAUAGUUGAUCGAUAAAUGCCCCUUCUUUCCAAGAUUAUCUCGACCUCGGUUUGUUCCAGUUGCCACAGCUAUGCCUUCUUCCUGGAAUGCGGAGGUACUCCUGAAGGUGGGGGUUCUGAGGCAGCUCUAUCCUGUCUGUGACAAGUUUAACCAAGCCUCCCCAAACUGUGUCCCUGUGCUCAGUCCUCACAGUCAUGUAUGGCACUCAAUGAUUGCCUGGGUUUGAUCCUCAGACCCAUAACCUGGGAAACUCAUUUAAUUUUUCUUUGCCUCAUCUGUAAAAUGGAAAAAAUAAUAGUACUUACUUGAUAGAGUUCUUGGGAGAGAUAAAUGAAUAUAUAUAAAGUACUUAACACAGUGCCUGGCAUAGAGUAAAUGUGCAAAAAAUAGAAACUGUUACUAUCAUGUAUUUGUUCACCUAAAUAUUCUUCCCUCUAGGUCCUCCCACAUCAGAGAACCUGCACUCAUGUGAGCUCAGGUUCCUGCUCUGAUGGAAUUCAUACCUUCCUCCCCUUUCUAGUCUUGAGAACUCCAACUCACCCACCUGAGUUGGGCUCAUCCAUUUUUAGUCCAGGAAGCAUUAAACCUCCAAUCCUAAACUGUUAAGAAAGCCUGUGUAGAAGUUGUCUUCUGGGCAACUCACUGCUUGCAGAUUUUCCUUUCUAUGUAGAAACACACAAAUCCUGCUGGGGGUCAAGAAAGUCAAGGACACAACUUCUGGCUCUCCCCCAGGAGUGGUGGGAAUGCCUUUCAUUCCUCUGGGGUGAGCCUACAGCUGAAAAAAACUAGACAGUUAUUUUUUCAAUAUGUCAUUCUGCUACACCUAAUUCUCAAUAAAUCUUGGCCAUAGACUGUGAAUUCCUUCACCAUGUUUUAUUCAUUGUGAACCUCCAGAGCGUAGCAUAGUACCCACACUUAGUAGGUGCUUAAUAAAUGUUGGAUAAAUGAGUGAAGAAUGUAGGUUAUAGGACCAAGGCAAUUUCCAAAUGGGGGCUGUUGGAGAAAUAAACAUGAGUACCCACAGUACAUCCAGCCUUGUGCUCAAUGCUGAGGCCCAUGCAAGAAAAGUACCAAAACACCUGGAGCCUGUACUCAGUCCUCAAAGAAUUAAGCCUACCAAAGAAAUAAGGCUCAACCAGAGAAAUCACUUGUUCUGUCCCACAUCAAAAAGAGCCUAUUGAAGUGCUUGAUCCAGAAGCUGCUGUGGGCCUGAUAGUGUACAGCCUUGGGAAAGGAAGAGGCAAGAUGUGGCCUAAGGUUUGAAAGUCUGAGAGGGGCUCAGACACUCAGCAGAGGGCCAAUGGCUUGUCGGGUGUCCGAGAACAUCACGAGCAAAGGCACAGCAUAGGAAUGAGUCUGCUAUUUUUGGGAAAUAACAAGGAGAUCAGCCUGACCUGGCUGUAGGACUUGUGAUAUGGAGUCAAGAGAGAUAAUUGUGGCUAUUUCAGGCUGUGACCUGAGUGUAGAGACCUAGAAGUCAGGCUGGGAGUGGGUCCUGAUGAGUCAGGCAAUAAAGAAUGGGUUCUUGAGAGAAGACAUGACAAACAUUUGUCUCAUUCCAGGACUAAAAAAGAUUUUAAUCCAAUCCAGAGAUUCCAGAUAUGAGCCCACUAGAGGAGCAGACCACUCAGCUCCUCUAAGAAAGUAGAAUUUUAAGGCCCAAAAGGAACAAAAAGGUGGAAGAAGGCUGAAUUCCCUCUCUGCCUGACUGCAUGAUCUGGAACAUUGGUUUUCUGCUUCCCUCCAAGUUCCUGCUUCUGAAGCCUUUAGAUCCAGACUAGAAUCUACACCAUUAAUUCUCAGGCUCUCGGGCCUGAAAAUUAUACCCCUUCUUCUCUAGGUCUCCAUCUUGUAGAUGGCAGAUCCUGGGACUUCUCAGUCUCCAUAAUUGUGUGAGCGAAUUCCUUAUAAUAAAUCUCAUUUCCUAUUUUACAUC
Molecule: long non-coding RNA, 2577 nt
Organism: Felis catus (domestic cat)
Lineage: Eukaryota; Metazoa; Chordata; Mammalia; Carnivora; Felidae
Exons: 2
Source: RefSeq, a predicted model, not a curated record